RNAcentral lists this ribosomal RNA (302 nucleotides) under uncultured bacterium. RNAcentral's name for it is "partial 16S ribosomal RNA". It matches the Rfam family "Bacterial small subunit ribosomal RNA", at positions 508 to 807 of the family's 1533-position model. The record is from RNAcentral.
GCAGUAGCCGCGGGAAAACGUAGGGUGCAAGCGUUAAUCGGAAUUACUGGGCGUAAAGCGUGCGCAGGCGGCUAUGCAAGACAGAUGUGAAAUCCCCGGGCUCAACCCGGGAACUGCAUUUGUGACUGCAUGGCUAGAGUACGGUAGAGGGGGAUGGAAUUCCGCGUGUAGCAGGGAAAUGCGUAGAUAUGCGGAGGAACACCGAUGGCGAAGGCAAUCCCCUGGACCUGUACUGACGCUCAUGCACGAAAGCGUGGGGAGCAAACAGGAUUAGAUACCCCUGUAGUCCCUGUCUCUUAUAC